GGGGAAGGCGUCCCCACCCUACGAUGUGCAGAUUGUGGAUGAUGAGGGCAACGUCCUGCCUCCUGGAGAAGAGGGGAAUGUUGCCAUCCGUAUCAGACCCACCCGGCCCUUCUGUUUCUUCAAUUGCUAUUUGGACAAUCCUGAGAAGACAGCUGCGUCAGAACAAGGGGACUUUUACAUCACAGGGGACCGAGCUCGCAUGGACAAGGAUGGCUACUUUUGGUUCAUGGGAAGAAACGACGAUGUGAUCAAUUCUUCAAGGUCAAGCUGUCUGCACUUUCCUCCUCCCUUUGAAAUUUCAUGGGGGUUGAGGGAAGCCCACUUGGAAGAGUUUGUUUUUCCCUUCCAGCUACCGGAUCGGGCCUGUUGAAGUGGAAAGUGCCCUGGCAGAGCAUCCGGCUGUCCUGGAGUCGGCUGUGGUCAGCAGCCCAGACCCCAUCAGGGGAGAGGUGGUAAAGGCAUUUAUAGUCCUUACUCCAGCCUACUCCUCUCAUGACCCAGAGGCACUAACGCGGGAACUCCAGGAACAUGUGAAAAGGGUGACUGCUCCAUACAAAUACCCCAGGAAG
RNAcentral lists this small RNA (569 nucleotides) under Pan troglodytes (chimpanzee). Its description in RNAcentral is "retained intron". Lineage: Eukaryota; Metazoa; Chordata; Mammalia; Primates; Hominidae. The record is from RNAcentral.